GUGAACUCUGGGUAAGUGAUUCUCCGUUUACUCGUUACUAUGACAACCCCUGCCAGUACUAUGGCUGCAGCGAGCAAUGGAGCGUGUGUACACGGGAGUCUAUGGCAGCAGAUCUGUGAAGAAUAUGAGCUGGAACAACCGUCCUUGCCACCUAGCGUUAAAUCUAAAGGAACAUCGAUAAUACGCGUAACAGGUCAAUCUGAGGAAGUAAUAUGUGAUGACAUAUCCUCUACACGCAUUCCUGAUCCAAAGACAUGUUCACCUCAAGAGUAUCUGGAAAACUACAUAUUCCCAGUGCUUCUUCCUGGAUUGACUGAAAUGCUGUCAGAAGCAAAGAAGGAGAAAUGCUUUAUAAAAAAGAGGACAAAAUUCCUUGCUUGUGACUUCCUCACUCAGUGGUUAUAUAAUCAGAAUCCAAUAAGGAAUGAUCAGCAGUGUAAAGAUUUCUUUGAGAUUCCGUUUGUUCAGGAAUGGUUAAAAGAUCAUCCAAGACCGCCAAUUCCAUUGUCUCUUCUCCUGUCUGAAGAGGAGGCGGCAUUACUCAUCCAGUCAUUCUGGAGAGGAUACCGGGUACGCUGUGAUCCAGAGGUCCAAGAAUUACGCCAGUGGCAAAAAGAUCUCAGAGAGAAUAAAGAUAUUAAUAAAAAAGUUCAAGAAUUCUGGGAAAAACAAGAAUCAAAAGAAAGCAUUCUGUUGAGACAGCCUGCGUAAGACAAAGACAGUCGUUUGGGUUGGUGGAAUGAAAUAUUGGUUUGCCAUCUUUAUGAUAAGUCAUUGGUCUCAGUCUUGAUACCAUUACUCUAAGAAGGUUAUGUCGGGUAUGCUCAUACCAAAGCCUUUUUGCAGUGGAAAAAGAACUGGAAGAUCUGAAGGACACAGGAUCUACAACGAAUAGUGCCAAAGUCUUCUUUCACAUUGUGCCACCAACUCCUCAAGACACAACAAUAGUAAUAUAAAUUGAUUAAAAGUAAAAAAAAAGAAAUUGUUUACUAUCAUUCACAGUAAA
This is an RNA transcript of Hyla sarda, 1006 nucleotides long. It is a transcript of the gene named IQ motif containing K, with no coding region annotated. The record is from RefSeq and is a predicted model, not a curated record. The transcript is spliced from 10 exons. Lineage: Eukaryota; Metazoa; Chordata; Amphibia; Anura; Hylidae.